RNAcentral lists this long non-coding RNA (1194 nucleotides) under Chrysemys picta bellii (western painted turtle). Its description in RNAcentral is "lncRNA (ENSCPBG00000002887.1)". Lineage: Eukaryota; Metazoa; Chordata; Testudines; Emydidae. The record is from RNAcentral.
GGAGGGGUGGGCAGGGGGGGGGGGAGAAGAUUCCUGGCUCUGCUGUUUGCAUGUGGUACAGCCAGUGUGAUCAGAGCAGGCUGUGUAAUUACAUGUCUCUAGUAAGUGUGUUAGCUCCACAGGGAGCUGAGUCCAUUUGGAGAGGAGGAGAAAUAGAUUUUAUUUUGGGGGGGUAAGGUGAAAAGGGUCAGUCCAUAACCCAGUUCUCAUUCGAAUAUGAUAAAGGUAAUUGUUGCUCUCAAGUGAAUGCCGGGCGCUUCCUGGUUCUGCUCCUCUCGUUCAUUGCUCAUGCCUGUAUUAUGCAGACGUCUGCUUUCCAAAGAGAGGAGCAGGUUUUUAUGAGAAGAGAGAAGAAAAUUGACGAUUUUGGAAGCGUUUGCUGUAGGUGCUGCUGGAUGCUUUGCUGUGAUACGGGGCCGAAGGCUGACCAAAUCCGAGGGAGGAUUUGUAUGUAGGAAGAGAAGGUUAUGGCUGUUCAGCGUGCUCCAGAAUCUGCUCUUAGCUUGUUGAUGGUAAGUGCUUGCUGAAAUGUGGAGCUUAUUGAGAGGCUAGUGGGGAGAGUGCAUGGAUCCUGAGUAGAAAAUCAUUGAGAGACCAUGUUGACCACAUGCUUUUCUUUAACAGGUCCUGGAGAACUUUGAAAAUGAGUUCAUUUGGAGCGUACAUAGAAACAUUCCUCUGAUGGUGGUUUUAAGCAUAUUCACCACUAAUAAUGUUCAUAUUUUGAAAUGCCUUUAAUAUACAGGUAUAUUUGCAUCCUGGUUUAUCCCAACCUGUAGAGACUUCCACAUAGUUCAUCAUAUGAGAAUCUAAAAUGUCUGUCUUUUCUUCCUUCUGCUUUCUCUCAUUUUUUCCUUGCUAAUUGCAAGACAGCUAAAUGCCAAGGAGUCUUUUCCCCCAUCAAUCCACGUACAUAUGUCGUUAAUGAAUGGAUGCUUAGAGAUGAUACUGUUAUCAUCAUUUGGUAAACCAGUGAAUAGUCACUUGACUAGCUAAUGAGUAUGCUGGACGUGAUAUUGACUGCGACCUGUAGCGAGAAAUGGCUAGUGUUUAUAUGAGACAUUUACUACAUGUUGCGCUACUGACCUACUUUUCAAAGUUCUGCAGAUUUAUAAUAUUUCAAAGAAGAUUAUUUCGCAUAAAAUGUGGAGGCUGAGUCCCGGAAAAUAAUGAUAUCUUGCUGCAAUUAAAAUA